This is a long non-coding RNA of Aegilops tauschii subsp. strangulata, 914 nucleotides long. RefSeq lists it as uncharacterized. The record is from RefSeq and is a predicted model, not a curated record. Lineage: Eukaryota; Viridiplantae; Streptophyta; Magnoliopsida; Poales; Poaceae.
CCCGCCCCGCCGCCGGAGCCAGGCCGCGCCGCCGCCACCCUUCCCGCGGAGGCCCCUCCGCCCUCCCUCCGAUCAUCCUCCAAGGUGUUGACAGAUGGUGGGCGCGGGUCGAGAGCGCUCCGAGCCUCCUUCCUCGACGCAUGCUGGGAGGGGUGUUGUUAUUCCACCACAGCACCUUCGAAGAGCGCUGGUAGAUGGCAUGCACACACCGGCGGACGCUUCUUCUUCGGCCGGGAGAGGUCGGGGGAAGACGAAGAGGGGUGCAGCUAGAGGUGGACGUGGCGGCGGGAGAGGUAGGAGGGUUGCUGCGCCUUCCUCGCCGCCACCCCCAGCUGAUUCUCCAGACCACCGGAGUGCUCCAUCUCAGGUGGACCCGUCAGACUUGGACCCGUCUCGGACUCCGGUCCAUGAGCCUCGGGCCGACGAGCCUUGGGUCGCCGAGCCUUCUUCCUUGGAGACUCGGGCCCCAGAGUCUUCGUCCCACGGGACUCCGGUCCCAGAGUCUUCGUCCCGCGUGACUCCGGAGACUAGUGGCCAUGCUGAUGGCGAGGACACCUGGUCUGACGAUAGUUAUAGCGAGGGCGAGCUGGUUGAGGGGGGCAAGAAGGUCUACCAGCAUGGUGGUCAUGCAGGCGACCCGCGAUCAGAGGUCGUUGAUUCAUCCUAACAGGGAGAAGGGUUGGAUACACCCGAUGGUGUCCGCAGGCCCAACCAGGUCCUUGGUGUGCUUUGCCGGCACCACUUCCCGGGGUGGGUCACGUUGCCCGGUGAGGGUCAGGUUCCACAGCUAGCACUGAGCUGGAUGUUGUACGUGGCUGCCAUGGCCCCGUCGGAGGAGAGGGUCGACGGUGUCUUGUGCGAGACGGUGGCCGACAUUGUGAGGCGGUGUUGGGGAACGUAGCAAAAAUUCAAAA